This 891-nucleotide long non-coding RNA is filed under the name Homo sapiens (human). RNAcentral's name for it is "HSALNT0270398". Lineage: Eukaryota; Metazoa; Chordata; Mammalia; Primates; Hominidae. The record is from RNAcentral.
CGGGGGAGGCUGGGAGCAGGGGAGCCUGGGAGGCAGGCAGAGGCUGGGAGGCAGGGGAGGCUGGGAGCAGAGGAGGCUGGGAGGCAGGGGAGGCUGGGAGGCAGGGAGGCUGGGAGGCAGGGGAGGCUUGGAGGUGGGGAGGCUGGGAGCAUGAGAGGCUGGGAGGCAGGAGAGGCUUGGAGGUGGGGAGGCUGGGAGCAGGAGAGGCUGGGAGGCAGGGGAGGCUGGGAGGCAGGAGAGGCUGGGAGGCAGGAGAGGCUGGGAGCAGGAGAGGCUGGGAGGCAGGGGAGGCUGGGAGGCAGGAGAGGCUGGGAGCAGGAGAGGCUGGGAGGCAGGGGAGGCUGGGAGGCAGGGGAGGCUGGGAGGCAGGGGAGGGUGGCCAGAUGUAGCAAGUAAGGACACAGGAUGCCCCCAGUUAACUUUGAGUUUCAGAUAACUAGAAAUACAUUUGUAGGGUAAAUAUGCCCCAUGCAAUACUUGGGACCUAGUCACUGUUUUUGAAUCUGGCACCCCAGCUGGGCGUGUUCGGCCAGGUGGGCAGGGAAUCCCAGGGGUUUCCAGGUGGGCUUUGUCCGUGGGCACCGAGUGGGGGGCCUUUGCCUGUAGUAGACCCUGGGGGCCAGACCGCCGCUUCUGUGCGGAGCUGCCUGUCCUCCUCCCGCUGAGGUUCUGAGGCAGGAGUGCAGCCCCAGGCAGGCUCCUGGUCCAGAGGCAUCCAGGGACCACGUCAUCCCUGGAAUUUUGGUUGCAUUUAAUAACUGUAAUGUGCAGAGGAGCGGGUCAGCGUUUCAGAUUAGCGCCCAGCACGUAACGAGGGCAGCUGCUUCUGUCCAUCUGGAACUUGCUCUGGUCUCUCUCGGCCAAGGCUCAGCCCACAGGCCUCGCCCACCG